GAUGAACGCUGGCGGCGUGCCUAAUACAUGCAAGUCGAGCGAACGGACGAGAAGCUUGCUUUUCUGAUGUUAGCGGCGGACGGGUGAGUAACACGUGGAUAACCUACCUAUAAGACUGGGAUAACUUCGGGAAACCGGAGCUAAUACCGGAUAAUAUUUUGAACCGCAUGGUUCAAAAGUGAAAGACGGUCUUGCUGUCACUUAUAGAUGGAUCCGCGCUGCAUUAGCUAGUUGGUAAGGUAACGGCUUACCAAGGCAACGAUGCAUAGCCGACCUGAGAGGGUGAUCGGCCACACUGGAACUGAGACACGGUCCAGACUCCUACGGGAGGCAGCAGUAGGGAAUCUUCCGCAAUGGGCGAAAGCCUGACGGAGCAGUGCCGCGUGAGUGAUGAAGGUCUUCGGAUCGUAAAACUCUGUUAUUAGGGAAGAACAUAUGUGUAAGUAACUGUGCACAUCUUGACGGUACCUAAUCAGAAAGCCACGGCUAACUACGUG
This 497-nucleotide ribosomal RNA is filed under the name uncultured bacterium. Its description in RNAcentral is "partial 16S ribosomal RNA". It matches the Rfam family "Bacterial small subunit ribosomal RNA", at positions 28 to 507 of the family's 1533-position model. The record is from RNAcentral.